GCUGGCUUGCUCAGAGCAAGGAGUUCUAAUCUUUUUUUCGGAUCUCAGUCGGAAUUACCAGAAAAUGAUUUUUCAUAAAAGUUUUCUGCUUUUCGCAGACUCUGGCCACUGAGGAAGAGAAAGAUGAGAAGCUAGAGAGUCUUCCGGCAGAGUUAAGAGCAGAUAAUCUUCCCACCGCUAAACCAGCUCCUAGUUUUAAAAUCUUGGCAAUCCUUGCAAGAAUGGAAGCAAGAAUUCGACGUCUUGAAGCCCUGGGUGUGCAGCAACUCAGAGGAAGAGAUGGUCGUGAUGGUAUGCCAGGGAAGCCAGGUAUAU
Actinia tenebrosa (Australian red waratah sea anemone) is the source of this 315-nucleotide long non-coding RNA. The record is from RefSeq and is a predicted model, not a curated record. NCBI's taxonomy places the organism in Eukaryota, Metazoa, Cnidaria, Anthozoa, Actiniaria, Actiniidae.